GCAUGCCUUCAUCAUGGUGUUAAUUCAUCAGAUCUCAUUAGAACUUUGUAGUUAUGCAUGCUUAGGCUAAAGUAGUACUGGGAUGGGCGACUUCCCAGGAAGUACUAGUGUUUUACAUGCC
Picea glauca (white spruce) is the source of this 121-nucleotide non-coding RNA. The record is from Rfam. Lineage: Eukaryota; Viridiplantae; Streptophyta; Pinopsida; Pinales; Pinaceae.